AUAUUGAAGGGCUGCAGUAUAUUGACUGUACAAAGGUAGCAUAAUCAUUAGUCAUUUAAUUGAUGACUUGUAUGAAAGAUUGGAUGAAAUAUAAACUGUCUCUUAAUUAAAUAUAGAAUUUAAUUUUUUAAUUAAAAAGUUAAAAUAAUUUAAAAAGACGAGAAGACCCUAUAGAGUUUUAUAGUUAAUUUAAUUAAGAUUAUUUAUUAAAAAAAAAAUUAAAAUUAAAUUAUUUAUUUUGUUGGGGUGACAGAAAAAUAUAUAUAACUUUUUUUAAAUUUAAACAUUUAUAAGUGAUUAAAUGAUCCAAUAUUAUUGAUUAUAAGAAAAAAUUACCUUAGGGAUAACAGCGUAAUUUUUUUUUUUA
Molecule: ribosomal RNA, 367 nt
Filed under: Helotropha leucostigma
Lineage: Eukaryota; Metazoa; Arthropoda; Insecta; Lepidoptera; Noctuidae
Description: partial 16S large subunit ribosomal RNA
Source: RNAcentral